This 1882-nucleotide long non-coding RNA is filed under the name Sus scrofa (pig). RNAcentral describes it as "lncRNA (ENSSSCG00025036766.1)". The record is from RNAcentral. Lineage: Eukaryota; Metazoa; Chordata; Mammalia; Artiodactyla; Suidae.
GGGGGGGGGCACAUCGCAUCAAAGGACCCCAACCGUGCCCACGGUCUUCAAGUUGUCUCGAUGUGCAGAUGAGCUGAUGGCGAGCUGGCCUCCCUCUCUGUCUGCCAAGACCGUCGUCUCGUGGCGGAGGGCUCCUCCGGUGACACACCACGUCUCAGCCGAACCCCCGGGAGUUGCUUCAGGAGCCAGCAUCUCUUUUGCUGUUGCUGCCACCGUCCGGCCCAGAUUCCCCGGAUCCAGCCUCAUCAAGCAAAAGGCAGGAGGGAGGCCAGGAGGAGGCCGUGCAAGAAUUUGCUCCAAAGGAGCUGCUUCAGUUACUUCAAAGGAACGAACGUCUCGCUCCUUUGAGUCUUUGCUGCAGAAGUUCUGAAAAAUCCCCUCAGGGACAAACCUUCCUGGAACCCACGCUCCCGCCCUGGGAAGGGCCUGCACGCCUGUGCGAAGGAGCCUGAUUUCAGCCCUCAUCGAGGCGCAGAUUCACUCAAAAGGCAGCGCCCUCAGCGCAGGGGGCGGUGAAUUGGGUCCUGGAUCACAGCCUGGAAGGCAGCGCUCGUCCUGGACGGCCGGGGUCCGGGCUUUCUGGGGGCUGGGGCAUCCCCGGGACGGUCAGGGUGUGUGACCUUCUCUGGGCAAAGCCUCAGAGAAAGUGACCCCCACGGGUGCCCCGGGGGCGUCUGCGGUUUAAUCUCGCAGAAGCCGGCUGGUGUCCCGCAGCUCCGAAGGAUGGGAAAUGCGAGUCCCAGUUCCGACAGACUUGUUCCAGGAACCGGGGCAUCGGUGAGGGGAGGCGUCAGGAGGAGCGAGGUGGGUGUCAGCCCGGAGCUCGGCCACCCGCGUCCGCUCCUGGGGCAGCUGCUGCAACAGACGAGCACGGACGUCGGAAGGGAGGUGCGCAGGGUUUUGAAGGGCAGGAGUCCAGGACCCAGACGUGGACAGGGCCUCAGGCCCCCGCAGGCUCCUCAGAGCCCUCUGUGCGACGGAAGCCCCCUCCCUGUGGACGCCAGGCCUGCCUGGGCCGGCCAGCCUCGCCCCGAGGUCAGUCUUGUGCUGUCUGUCCCUCCCUGUGCCAGAUAGUUGUGUGAGUUGUCCCCUUUCCUGGGGGUUGGCACCAGAAAACGAGCUGGCGCAGUUACCGGGUCUUGCCUGGCAGGGGGCUCAGGUCUGUCCUGUCAGGACUCAGCGCUGCCCUGUCCCCGUGGGGUUGGGCCCGGGGCCACCUCCUUCCCCUCCGUUCCUCCUUUCCUGCCUCCUUCGGCUUCAUGUGAAAAGCGAUUUUAACUCUUCCAACUCCUAAUGACGUUCAAGUUAAACCUCUUGGUUGAACACGUUUGCGGGGUUGCUCUAGAAACUUUCUCAGUUUUUCAUACUCAAACUUUUUUUUUUUUUUUUUUUGGUCACACCUGCAGCAUGUGGAAGUUCCUGGGCCAGGGAUUAAACCCUUGUCAUAGCAGUGACAACAUAGGACCUUUUUUUUUUUUUUUUUUUUUGUCUUUUUGCCUUUCCUAGGGCUGCUCCUCGCGGCAUAUCCCAGGCCAGGGGUCUAAUCAGAGCUGUAGCCGCUGGCCUACGCCAGAGCCACAGCUACGCAGGAUCCCAGCCGCGUCUGCAACCUACACCACAGCUCACGGCAACACAGGAUCUUCAACCCAGUGAGCAAGGCCGGGGAUCGAACCCUCAACCUCAUGGUUCCCAGUCGGAUGCGUUAACCACUGCGCCAUGACGGGGAUUCCUCAACAUGGGACCUUUAACCUGCUGAGCCACCAAAGAACUCCCUCCUUUUUUCUUAUUAGUAUUUUUUCAGACUUUUCUCCUCAUUCUCAUUUUUCAAAAAGUUUGACUAAGAUCUGUCCUUUGUCUAUAACAUGACAGGGUUGCUGAGCUA